Molecule: transfer RNA, 81 nt
Filed under: Ipomoea nil (Japanese morning glory)
Lineage: Eukaryota; Viridiplantae; Streptophyta; Magnoliopsida; Solanales; Convolvulaceae
Rfam family: tRNA
About the family: Transfer RNA (tRNA) molecules are approximately 80 nucleotides in length. Their secondary structure includes four short double-helical elements and three loops (D, anti-codon, and T loops).
Source: Rfam by way of RNAcentral
GUUGAGAUGGCUGAGUUAGUCUAAGGUGCCAGAUUAAGGUUUUGUUCCGAAAGGGCGUGGGUUCAAAUCCCACACUCAACA